This 60-nucleotide transfer RNA is filed under the name Liposcelis nr. bostrychophila AZ. Its description in RNAcentral is "tRNA-Ser". Lineage: Eukaryota; Metazoa; Arthropoda; Insecta; Psocodea; Liposcelididae. The record is from RNAcentral.
AAUCAUUUAGUUUAAAAAACUUUUAUUUUGAAAAUAAAAAUUAUUAAUAAGUAUUGAUUU